AGCGAACGCUGGCGGCAGGCUUAACACAUGCAAGUCGAACGCCCCGCAAGGGGAGUGGCAGACGGGUGAGUAACACGUGGGAACGUACCCUUUGGUUCGGAAUAACUUGGGGAAACUCAAGCUAAUACCGGAUAAGCCCUUAUGGGGAAAGGUUUACUGCCGAAGGAUCGGCCGGCGUCUGAUUAGCUAGUUGGUGAGGUAAUGGCUCACCAAGGCGACGAUCAGUAGCUGGUCUGAGAGGAUGAUCAGCCACACUGGGACUGAGACACGGCCCAGACUCCUACAGGAGGCAGCAGUGGGGAAUAUUGGACAAUGGGGGCAACCCUGAUCCAGCCAUGCCGCGUGAGUGAUGAAGGCCUUAGGGUUGUAAAGCUCUUUUACCCGGGACGAUAAUGACUGUACCGGGAGAAUAAGCCCCGGCUAACUUCGUGCCAGCCGCCGCAGUAA
RNAcentral lists this ribosomal RNA (447 nucleotides) under uncultured bacterium. RNAcentral's name for it is "partial 16S ribosomal RNA". It matches the Rfam family "Bacterial small subunit ribosomal RNA", at positions 29 to 523 of the family's 1533-position model. The record is from RNAcentral.